RNAcentral lists this ribosomal RNA (253 nucleotides) under uncultured bacterium. RNAcentral's name for it is "partial 16S ribosomal RNA". It matches the Rfam family "Bacterial small subunit ribosomal RNA", at positions 524 to 776 of the family's 1533-position model. The record is from RNAcentral.
UACGUAGGGUGCAAGCGUUAAUCGGAAUUACUGGGCGUAAAGCGUGCGCAGGCGGUUUUGUAAGUCUGAUGUGAAAUCCCCGGGCUCAACCUGGGAAUUGCAUUGGAGACUGCAAGGCUAGAAUCUGGCAGAGGGGGGUAGAAUUCCACGUGUAGCAGUGAAAUGCGUAGAGAUGUGGAGGAACACCGAUGGCGAAGGCAGGUCUCUGGGCUGACACUGACGCUCAUGCACGAAAGCGUGGGGAGCAAACAGG